CACACUCCACACAGAUUAUAUCUGAAUUGAGGCCAUCCAACUGAAUCAGUGAUGUAACACCAGUAGUUAAGAUUGCUUGGGAUAUAGCAAUAGUUAGCUACACAAUGGUGU
Molecule: small RNA, 111 nt
Filed under: unclassified sequences
Description: COG3943 RNA
Rfam family: COG3943 RNA
About the family: cow rumen. Environment (Cow rumen (57))
Source: Rfam by way of RNAcentral